RNAcentral lists this ribosomal RNA (245 nucleotides) under uncultured bacterium. Its description in RNAcentral is "partial 16S ribosomal RNA". It matches the Rfam family "Bacterial small subunit ribosomal RNA", at positions 111 to 354 of the family's 1533-position model. The record is from RNAcentral.
UAACGCGUAAGGAAUCUGCCUAUAAGAGGGGAAUAACAGUGAGAAAUCAUUGCUAAUACCGCAUAAGCUCUGAAUAUCGCAUGAUAAAAAGAGAAAAGGAGAAAUCCGCUUAUAGAUGAUCUUGCGUCUGAUUAGUUAGUUGGUGAGGUAAAGGCCCACCAAGACGAUGAUCAGUAGCCGGACUGAGAGGUUGAACGGCCACAUUGGGACUGAGAUACGGCCCAGACUCCUACGGGAGGCAGCAG